UACGAAGGGGGCUAGCGUUGCUCGGAAUCACUGGGCGUAAAGCGCACGUAGGCGGAUUCUUAAGUCAGGGGUGAAAUCCUGGAGCUCAACUCCAGAACUGCCUUUGAUACUGGCGAUCUCGAGUCCGGGAGAGGUGAGUGGAACUGCGAGUGUAGAGGUGAAAUUCGUAGAUAUUCGCAAGAACACCAGUGGCGAAGGCGGCUCACUGGCCCGGUACUGACGCUGAGGUGCGAAAGCGUGGGGAGCAAACAGG
Molecule: ribosomal RNA, 253 nt
Filed under: uncultured bacterium
Lineage: Bacteria
Description: partial 16S ribosomal RNA
Rfam family: Bacterial small subunit ribosomal RNA
Source: RNAcentral